CAGCCGCCACGGUAAUACGAAGGGUGCAAGCGUUACUCGGAAUUACUGGGCGUAAAGCGUGCGUAGGUGGUGGUUUAAGUCCGUUGUGAAAGCCCUGGGCUCAACCUGGGAAUUGCAGUGGAUACUGGGUCACUAGAGUGUGGUAGAGGAUAGUGGAAUUUCCGGUGUAGCAGUGAAAUGCGUAGAGAUCGGAAGGAACAUCUGUGGCGAAGGCGACUAUCUGGGCCAACACUGACACUGAGGCACGAAAGCGUGGGGAGCAAACAGGAUUAGAUACCCCUGUAGUCCGUGUCUCUUAUAC
RNAcentral lists this ribosomal RNA (301 nucleotides) under uncultured bacterium. Its description in RNAcentral is "partial 16S ribosomal RNA". It matches the Rfam family "Bacterial small subunit ribosomal RNA", at positions 509 to 807 of the family's 1533-position model. The record is from RNAcentral.